GAUUCGGCGUGCCUCGUCUGGGACACGUCCUGCGGCGCGACCGGCGAGUGCAGUCUCUACGACUCGACUAAGUUCAGAACCAUCUUCCAUCUCAUUCCUGCGGUGUUCGUGUUCAUAUGUGUGCUGUGCGACGUCGUGGUGUUCUGUUAUAGCAGGAACUCGGAGCUGCUAGACGAAUGCCGCGAGGACCUGCAGAAGAGGCGGGGCUGCUCCGAGGAAGACCAGCCUCUUCGCUCCGCGGCUUACGACGAGGCCAAAGUCUGAGCGUAACCUCGACAAACGUAGUAUAAUCUGUUUGAUUCAGGCAUAUAUUUAUUUAUCAGAGUAUCUGGUAUCUUUUUAGUAAUAAAGGUGUUACUUGAA
Molecule: long non-coding RNA, 363 nt
Organism: Penaeus indicus
Lineage: Eukaryota; Metazoa; Arthropoda; Malacostraca; Decapoda; Penaeidae
Exons: 2
Source: RefSeq, a predicted model, not a curated record